This 66-nucleotide transfer RNA is filed under the name Carcinoscorpius rotundicauda (Southeast Asian horseshoe crab). RNAcentral's name for it is "tRNA-Ser". The record is from RNAcentral. Lineage: Eukaryota; Metazoa; Arthropoda; Merostomata; Xiphosura; Limulidae.
AGAAAUAUGUUUGAACAAAAAGAGCUGCUAACUCUUCAAAAGCGGUUAAAUUCCGUUAUAUUUCUA